Molecule: non-coding RNA, 227 nt
Filed under: Bacillus sp. (in: firmicutes)
Lineage: Bacteria; Bacillati; Bacillota; Bacilli; Caryophanales; Bacillaceae
Description: Bacillus sp. T-box sequence
Rfam family: T-box leader
About the family: Uncharged tRNA acts as the effector for transcription antitermination of genes in the T-box leader family. T-boxes are found upstream of many aminoacyl-tRNA synthetase genes and some amino acid biosynthetic genes usually in Gram-positive bacteria.
Source: RNAcentral
AUAAUUGCGAUGAAGAGGACAUGAAUUAUUUUUACGGUUUUCAGAGAGGGAAGGAUUUGCUGUGAUCUUCCUAGCUUAGUGAAAUAAUUUACCACCUCUGAGCUAUAUCAGUGAACAUAAGUAUCUGAUAUCGUCCAUGCUGCGUUACAGCACCAAAGCCAUAGGUUAUCAUUUAUAGCUUAUGGGAAAUUGGGUGGAACCACGGGUAUAACGCACUCGUCCCUUGC